Molecule: small RNA, 132 nt
Filed under: Citrobacter freundii
Lineage: Bacteria; Pseudomonadati; Pseudomonadota; Gammaproteobacteria; Enterobacterales; Enterobacteriaceae
Description: RtT sRNA
Rfam family: RtT RNA
About the family: This family represents a bacterial cis-regulatory element known as RtT RNA.
Source: RNAcentral
GUUUGCACUUGUCGGGGAAGGGUGAGAACCUUCGAUUAAGGUUCGACUCGAGCGAAAGCGAGAGAACGUUGCCAACGGCAACGGCCCGAAGGGUGAGGAGCGAAGCGACGAAUAAUCCUUCCCCCACCACAA